UACGGAGGGUGCAAGCGUUGUUCGGAAUCAUUGGGCGUAAAGCGCACGUAGGCGGAUUUCUAAGUCAGGGGUGAAAUCCUGGAGCUCAACUCCAGAACUGCCUUUGAUACUGGGAAUCUCGAGUCCGGGAGAGGUGAGUGGAACUGCGAGUGUAGAGGUGAAAUUCGUAGAUAUUCGCAAGAACACCAGUGGCGAAGGCGGCUCACUGGCCCGGUACUGACGCUGAGGUGCGAAAGCGUGGGGAGCAAACAGG
This 253-nucleotide ribosomal RNA is filed under the name uncultured bacterium. RNAcentral describes it as "partial 16S ribosomal RNA". It matches the Rfam family "Bacterial small subunit ribosomal RNA", at positions 524 to 776 of the family's 1533-position model. The record is from RNAcentral.